RNAcentral lists this ribosomal RNA (916 nucleotides) under uncultured bacterium. RNAcentral's name for it is "bacterial SSU rRNA". It matches the Rfam family "Bacterial small subunit ribosomal RNA", at positions 246 to 1155 of the family's 1533-position model. The record is from RNAcentral.
UUGUUGGUAAGGUAAAAGCUUACCGAGGCUUCGAUCAGUAGCUGGUCUGAGAGGACGACCAGCCACACUGGGACUGAGACACGGCCCAGACUCCUACGGGAGGCAGCAGUGGGGAAUUUUGGACAAUGGGGGCAACCCUGAUCCAGCCAUGCCGCGUGAGUGAAGAAGGCCUUCGGGUUGUAAAGCUCUUUCAGCCGGAACGAAACGGUUACGGAUAACACCCGUGACUACUGACGGUACCGGAAGAAGAAGCACCGGCUAACUACGUGCCAGCAGCCGCGGUAAUACGUAGGGUGCGAGCGUUAAUCGGAAUUACUGGGCGUAAAGCGUGCGCAGGUGGUUUUGUAAGUCAGAUGUGAAAGCCCCGGGCUCAACCUGGGAACUGCGUUUGAAACUACAAGACUAGAGUGUGGCAGAGGGGGGUGGAAUUCCGCGUGUAGCAGUGAAAUGCGUAGAGAUGUGGAGGAACACCGAUGGCGAAGGCAGCCCCCUGGGUCAACACUGACGCUCAGGCACGAAAGCAUGGGGAGCAAACAGGAUUAGAUACCCUGGUAGUCCAUGCCCUAAACGAUGUCAACUAGUUGUCGGGCCUUUACGGGCUUGGUAACGUAGCUAACGCGUGAAGUUGACCGCCUGGGGAGUACGAUCGCAAGAUUAAAACUCAAAUGAAUUGACGGGGACCCGCACAAGCGGUGGAUUAUGUGGAUUAAUUCGAUGCAACGCGAAAAACCUUACCUACCCUUGACAUGUAUCGAAGCCCGCAGAAAAGCGGGGGUGCCCGAAAGGGAACGAUAACACAGGUGCUGCAUGGCUGUCGUCAGCUCGUGUCGUGAGAUGUUGGGUUAAGUCCCGCAACGAGCGCAACCCUUGUCAUUAAUUGCCAUCAUUUAGUUGGGCACUUUAAUGAGACUGCCGG